GUUGCUGUGGUGUAGUGGUCAUCACGUCAGUCUUACACACUGAAGGUCCCCAGUUCGAUCCUGGGCAGCAACA
This is a non-coding RNA of Prosopis cineraria, 73 nucleotides long. NCBI's taxonomy places the organism in Eukaryota, Viridiplantae, Streptophyta, Magnoliopsida, Fabales, Fabaceae. The record is from the annotation of a RefSeq genome assembly.